Molecule: long non-coding RNA, 2511 nt
Filed under: Mus musculus (house mouse)
Lineage: Eukaryota; Metazoa; Chordata; Mammalia; Rodentia; Muridae
Description: long non-coding RNA chr5:66688882-66691393
Source: RNAcentral
UGGUUCUAAAGGACUGCGGUUGCAGGCAUGCACUACCACACUGAACACUGCACUGAGGGUCACAUCCUGGGCUUUGUUCAUACUGGGCAAGCAUUCUGACAGCUGAGCUGCAUCUCUAGCCCUUCUUUGGUGUUUAACUUCUGUGAAGCUAGCACUUUGAAACUUACUUUGAGGCCAGCAAGGUGGCUGAGCAGUUAAAGUACCUAGCUGCCAAGGACAACCUGAGUUUAAGUCUCAGGACCCACAUGGAAGGAGAGAACCGGCUCCCAUAGACCACGUGUACAGUGACAUGCAUGUGUGCGCACACACGCAAAUAAAACAUAAAAGGAAUUCUUAGUUUGGACCUAAAGUAAUUACAUUUUCAGGGGAUAAUGUGAUAAUUGAUAUAUGUAUAUAAUGUGAAAUCAUCAAAUCAGGGUAGUGAGUUUCCAUCUCAAACUUUAUUAUUUCUUUGUCUUGAAAACCUUCAAAUUCCUUUAUAAAAUAUGUCAGGUGUGAACUGUAGUCAGCCUACCUACCAAGAACACUAGAAUUUAUUCCUCCUGUGUAGCUUUCACUUCUAAUCAUACAGCCUUCUACAAUAUCCGGAAUUAUUUCUUCCUCUUCCUCCUCCUUUCUUUCCUCCUCUUCAUCAUUAUCUUCCUCUUCUUCCUCCUCUUCCUUUUCCUCCUCACUAGCGGCUACUCUUCUCAGUUUCAAUGAGAUCAACUUUAGGGUUUUUGUUUAUUUAGCUUCCAUCAAGAACAUGUAAUAUCUGUCUCUGGCUUGUAAACAGUAAAUCUGUCCCCUCUUUUAGCCCCUGCUCCCAGAAUAAUGGCUUGGAGACUAAUACUUUAUUAAGAAAUGCCUUGACAAUAAGCUUCGCCUCAUUCCCCAACUAGCUUAUUAGUUAUUUAACCCAUUCAAACUACCCUAUGGCUUCCGCGUGGUUCGUUACCUCUCCUCGGCUUUAUGUGAUCAACUCUGGCUUGAUGUGACCAAGACCCGGGGCAAAUGUCUUCAUUCUGUCCGGAGUCCAUUCUGUGGAGCUGCUGGUGUAUGUGCCUCUCCUCAGCUUUCCAGCCCAGAUCUCACGCCACUCCCUAUUUCCCAGAAUCCUCUCUCUUCCUACCAGUGUCCCACCUCCUAUUUCCUGCCUCAGCUCAUUGGCCAUAGGCUUUCUGAUUGACAGGUGUUGCUUAGAUUCUCUCUAGGCUAGCUUGCUUCAUCUAGCAGAGUGGAGUCUUGUUUCUCCUCAAGCAAGUUGCUGUGAACAAUAGGCUUCUAUUCUUUCUUACGGUCAGAUAUUUCAUUGUGUGCAGCAGGCGCUCUCUGCUCCUCAGAAGGAAGUGACCAUUACUUACGAGCCUUCUAUUAAUGUAAAAACUAAACAUCUAGUUGUCUUUGUUUCCUUUCCUGUUGCUGUGAUAAAAUGCUCCGACAGAAAUGACUUAAAGGAAAGUGGGGUUGUUCAGGCUUCACAGAUGAGGAUACAUACCGUCCAUCAUGCCGGGAAAAGCAAGGCAGCUGGGGCUUGACACAGCGGCUCACAUCACGCCCGUAGUCUAGAAACCAAGGGAUGACGGUGUGCUGGUCCUCAGCUGGCUUUCUCCACUUACACCAUCCAGGAUCCCCUGCCCAGGGAAUAGUCCUGCUCAUGGUGGGCAUGGCCUUCCCACCUCUCCCAGGUGAUUCUGGAUUCUGCCCAGCGGACAACGCUAAUCCACAAGGAUCGCAGCGAUUCACAGGUUUCUAGCGGCAGACAGCAGAAACUAGAGGGAUGCCCCUUAAAUUCUCACGUGCGUUAGGAGGGAAACGGUUGCUGUUCAAGUUGACUGAACGUGUCCUUGGCUUGUUUCUGUCUCAACAGAAAUGAUCCUCUACCUCAUCCUCGUGUCAUGUUAAAAUAGACUGAGAGAGAUCUGGACCAGGGCUUAGGAAGAAGCUCAAAAGCUUGGGUUUAAUCUUUAGCACCAAAAUAAAAACUAAAUGAAACCUACUUAAAAGCCAGCGAAGAUGUGUAGGAAGGGUGUGGCCCCUUGAAGUUUGCAUCUAGGGACACCAGUUUCCCUCCAGUGAGAGAUGCAGUUCUGUCCACAUCCAAGGCCAUGGGAGGGCAGAUCCCUCUGCGAUGAGGUGACUCAGAGGACCAGGAUUCUCCAGCAGACCCUCUGAUUGGCAUCUUAGUUUGUCAGAGAUUUAUACAUGAGCUUAUUCCCUUAAUUCGUUUCUCUGUAACAUGGCACUACUAUUCUUGGGUGAUGGAGGGGAUUUCAUGUUUUCAGCUGACAGAGGUAUCUGAUGCUAGAAAUCUCUCCUUUUAAACAAAUGCCCCUAAUGUCUAAUUGGGUCCCUUGAGCUCAUAGACUAUUCAGAUAAUACCCGGGCUGCCUAAACACACAGAGACACGGAGAAAUGUUCACGAAAGAACCCCAUGAGAUAGCUGGCUAAAAUGUGUGUGUGUGUGCGCGUCCUUAAAGCCAGGUGAAGUGUUGGCUCUACUCCAAGUAUGCUCCAUAAAUGACUACAUUG